GCUAGGAUGAACGCUAGCUACAGGCUUAACACAUGCAAGUCGAGGGGCAGCAUGAUCAAAGCUUGCUUGAUGAUGGCGACCGGCGCACGAGUGCGUAACGCGUAUCCAACCUGCCAUGUACUCCGGGAUAGCCCUCUGAAAGGAGGAUUAAUACCGGAUGUGGUUGUUUGAGGACAUCCUCUUACAAUUAAAGAUUUAUCGGUACAUCGAUGGGGAUGCGUACGAUUAGUUAGUCGGCGGGGUAACGGCCCACCGAGACGACGAUCGUUAGGGGUUCUGAGAGGAAGGUCCCCCACAUAGGAACUGAGACACGGUCCUAACUCCUACGGGAGGCAGCAGUGAGGAAUAUUGGUCAAUGGGCGAGAGCCUGAACCAGCCAAGUAAGCGUGAAGGAUGACUGCCCUAGUGGGUUAGUAAACUUCUUUUAGGGGCGAAUAAAGUGCCGUACGUGUACGGUUUUGUAGGUAUCCCCUGAAUAAGCAUCGGCUAAUUCCGUGCCAGCCGCGGC
RNAcentral lists this ribosomal RNA (508 nucleotides) under uncultured bacterium. RNAcentral's name for it is "bacterial SSU rRNA". It matches the Rfam family "Bacterial small subunit ribosomal RNA", at positions 26 to 518 of the family's 1533-position model. The record is from RNAcentral.